CUCCGGGCCUCGCCGGGCCGGGACCCCGCCGCUCCGCUCCGCUCCGUGACGGGCCGGGUCGGGCCGGGCCCUCGCCCCCGGCUGGCCGUAGCUGUUACCACCGUGGGAGGGGCACGGGGGCCGUGGCCUUGGCCGCGCACGACCGUCUCCCUCCCUGCCUCCGCGGUCAGGUACUUCGAGGCCAGAGCCGCCUCCUGAGGGACCGGCCGAGGCCCCCCGCGAGGGCCUUCUCCGCCGUGGGCCCGCUGGGCGCCCGCGCUCCCGAUCCCCGCAGCGCAGUGCGUCGGGAGCAGCUCUCCGGGGAGCGAACGCAGGAAGGAGAGAAACGCGUAGGCAAAUACUAGUGUCAUCUCUGGACUGUCCAAGCCAAGGCAGCCAGGCAGGUUUACAAGUUGGGUGCGCUGGAAAUCCUCUUCUAGCAAGCACAAACAUAAUUACGCGGGUAGAUGACAACUUCCUUCUGCUGUGAGCCACCUUUAUGUAGACCAGCAGACCUCUUAAGGAGUUGUUCGUGAAAUUCCCUCUAGCUCUUCUUCUGAAGUGAUCAACUGCAGCAUGUAAGACUACUCAAAAUCCAAAGGCGCCUUUGACCAAACAUGAGACAUCCAUUGCUGUCUUUUCGGACAGAAUGCUUCCAUGGGGUAUACUUCACUUUUUAAUCCAUGCCCCUGAAGGUCAUCAAGAACAAUGCCAGCAUAUACAGAAUUCACAGCACUCUCAGGUCACAUGAUGUCUCUUUAUUUUUCCUGUUAGUUUAGAGCUUCCAUCUUUCAACUAGGCGAUACAGAACCAAUUUUUAACUGUUCAAACAAUUUUAUUUCUUUGAAGAACAAAGAAGAAUGAAAGAGUUGGGAUAUAGUUGCGCAGGGUAUGUCUACAUGACAGGCCUCUGGAAACAGACAGGCAAGCUCCAUAGCUCCUUCUGGCAUGACUAAUCUGUAGCAGAAAGACUCUAUUAUUGCACACAAUGGGUAUUAUGAAGACACACACACAAAAAAAAAACACACCAAAAAAACCCCAAACAAACAGAAAAAAGGGUCAGACCAGAACUUCACAGACAACUUCAGGAAGAGUGCACACUCAAAUCAGGGCUGAAACCUGAGUUUCAUAUCUAGUGUCUGGGCUAGAAUUUCAUAUUCGUCCUUUAUUGCUUGUACCCUGGACUUGAAGUGGAAGCAGGUAUUAUUUGCUGUGAAAAGCCAAGCUGUUACCUGAUCUAUAGCCAUUCUGGAUAUUUCCACCAUUUUUAUUUCACACUGCUACUGCACUUUUCCUUGGUUUUGCGUUUUUAACUCAAACUUUGUUCUGUUUAAAUCAUGUCUAAUCAAGACUGGAAUGGUUUAAUCCUUCUGUCAUAUAAAAUGGGAAGAAUACCUGAACUGAGGAGGUGGUGGACUAAUGAAACCUUUGAGAGCAGGUCACUCAUUUGGGCAGAGGGACAGACACACAAUGCAACUGUAUCAUAGCAGAGGUUACAGGGUUCCUCAUGGGCCAGAUCUUCAAGUGGAAUAAAUCACAGCAUCUGGCUCAGACUGCUUAAUCAAAUGGUGUCCCUCUCUAAGGCAUAGGAGUGGGUGGGCACUGUUCAUCCUUCUGUCCUAGAGUUCAUACUGCUCCUCUGAUGCAGUACUCAGGUACAUCAUGACCAGUGACGAUUAAUCAAAUGUAAACACAACACUCAUUAGUCUGAACUCUUGUAAACAUACCCAACAGCACUGUAUCAUUCAGGGUGAUUGUGUUCGUCCUUGUCUGGGACCACAAGGACUUCAUUGCCUGUUUGCAAUGUCUUGUUAGCAGCUGCUCUUGCCAUCUAAAUGUUUUCUCCUGCCUCACACUUCGUGUUCACUUAAAAGCUAUAUAAGGAGCUAAGCCUGUAACACUGAAUUACAGGCACAGACAAGGGUGGGUUAGUAAAAACGGGGUUUUAUUCAAACCAAUUUAGUGCUAAGAAGGAUUAGGGUCAGUUAGAAAUCAGUAAACAAACCUGACUAUUAUUAAUUCACAAAUACAUUUCUGCAUCAUUUUUCCCCACAAAGUUCUUCGCAGACUUCAGCUGAAAUACAUAAGAACUUUCUAUCCGCUAAAAUGCAGCUACCACUGGGACACCGCUGAAAUGUGGAAGCUGCAGGCCUUGGAGUUACUCAGGCCACAUGAGCUGGUUCAGGGAACAGACUGUGAAGUACAGACUUGUACAGAGCACAUUCUGUAGGCUCUGCUUUGGCUGUACUGUGUGAGCUGAAUAUUCACAGUCUGCCUAGAAGCACAAAUUGGGCUGGGAGAAAAAGAAAUGCAAGAAUGCAGGAAGUUCCUGUUUUCUACCCUUGUUUUCUGCCUUCCAUUUUACCGUGUGUAUGAGAGAGAAGAGAAUGGGACUGGCUUGAGAACAGCAUUAUGCACACUGUGUGCCCUGAAGUGCAGAGCAUCAGUGAACUGAAAGAUGGUCUGAGGUGAGCAACUGAUGCUGGACUUUGAUUGUGGUGGGUCGACCCUGGCUGGAUGCCAGGUGCCCACCAAAGCUGCUCUAUUGAUACCUGAUACAGGCUUCAAAAGAACAUACAGCCCCCUCUAAUUGGGGCAACAUAGCUACGUUUGAAAUACUUGGAAUACUUGCUAAUAAGAUAGUCUUAGAGCUUGCUAUAUGUGAUUAGAGAAAAGGGAGUCUGGAGACACUGUAUCGUUGAGUAGAAUAAAUAAGGGAAAUGUGCUAGAAUAAGCUAGUUUAGUAUCAGUAAGAAUUGUGUAACCAAGCCAAAAAUGAACUGAGCAUGCCCAGAGACUGAGUCCAACCAGCAGACACUGGGAGGAAGACUAUCGACAACCACCAGAGGACCCUGGAAGACCACCAAUGAACAUGAAUGUGCACGCGUUAAGGACAUUUGCAUAUAUUAAUGAGUUCCAAGAAUAGUAUUAAUAUUACAAUAAUUUCCUAGAAAUCUAAUGAAUAUGUAUACUUUGAUUGCAUAUAACCCCUGUAGAAGAGCAACUCGGUGCACACACUAGGUGGAGCGAUCCCCUGUGUGCCCACGGCGCCACAAUAAAGAAUGCCUGCCUUCUAAAACUGCAAAUUGAGUUUUAGAGGGUUCUUAUA
This is a non-coding RNA of Phalacrocorax carbo (great cormorant), 3088 nucleotides long. The record is from RefSeq and is a predicted model, not a curated record. Lineage: Eukaryota; Metazoa; Chordata; Aves; Suliformes; Phalacrocoracidae.